GCUGGUGCGAGGCAACCGCAGUUAAGGCGCACUGAGCCUGCGCCCCCAGCCCCAUCCCUGAAAGAAGCCGCCAAGGGCAAAACCUGUGCAGACCCAGGCAGACUUCUCUGCCAGAGAACACGAACCGAGAAUCUGAAGAGAUGGAGCUCCCGUGACUCCCUGGGCGUGGAGACUGCAUGCUGCCCAUGGGACAGAUGUGGAUUCAGCAGAGCCACGGAGUUUCCAGAAGGCCGCUGCGUAACUGCCAACCAAGCAAGGAAUGAAAGGUGGGAAGAGCACCACAACUUCGAGAUCCUUCCUCCGAGUGAACUACUCUAUUCCCAUUGGUUUAAAGACUCUGAGCGAGGCAGUCCCACUGUUGUGAGGACAAGGCUUAAAAACCGCCCUGUACCGAGCAGGUUUUAUGGAAGUGGGGUCAGAGUGAUGAAUGACGACGGGUGCGUCCAUCUCCAGACGCGGCACUUACUGCAAGUCCGUUAAAGAGUCUGCUGCAAGGCCACAGCCCCUAGAACAGAUGCACAAUUCCUGCUCCCAGAGGCCCCGUGUGCAGGGAGAAAGAGGCAGAGGGAGAGGGGUCCCUUCUGGCUCCCCCCAUGGCCAGGUGAGCUCACCCCAACUCUAGCGAAUAGAGACACCGGUUUCAUUCAGUGUAGGUAUGGACUUGUGAAGGGUCAGAGCAGGCCAAAGAUGGACCGGGCUAUCUCUGGAGGGAGUGAGGAGUGUGUCCAAACACAGACCGGAUGACCACUGGGUAGAGAUAACGGAGGGAGGAGUCGCACAUCAGAGAGAUGUUAGACCAGAUGACCUUUACAGUUCCCUUCAAAUUGAGAAUCUACUUAAACUCAGGGAAACUGGGUUUGAUCCCUGGGGGAACACAUGGACUUGUAAGCAUUUGAACUUAUCAUUUUGUUGUGGUUUCUCAUCUGGGAGUACUAGUAUUCCUUGCUUAAUUUAGACGUGACAAGUCAACAGUGUUAAAUAUGGUCAAACUUUACAUAAUUUAUUCUUCCCUUGAAGUGGAGCCAAGACAACCUCAGGGCCUUUGCACUUACUGUUCUCCACUCCUUUCAUUCAGAUUGUGCUCAAAUGUGGCCUUAUCAAAGAGGUCAUCCCUGAUCUCCUCCCCUAUAAAAUGUCACCCCCCCUUGACCUUCUUGUUGUCACUUUCUACACUUUCCCCUCCCUCCACAUGACACAUUAUAUAUUCAUUUGUUCAUUUUUGGGCUCUCCUUGAUGAAAAAUAAACACCAUGGAACAAAGCUUUGUCUGUUUGGUUCAACGUAUUUCAGAUCCUACAACAGCACCUGGCACAUAGGAAGCACUCAAUAAAUGUUUGUUGAAUGAAUAA
RNAcentral lists this long non-coding RNA (1348 nucleotides) under Equus caballus (horse). RNAcentral's name for it is "lncRNA (ENSECAG00000030827.3)". Lineage: Eukaryota; Metazoa; Chordata; Mammalia; Perissodactyla; Equidae. The record is from RNAcentral.